GCCUCUUUCCCUCUCUCUCUCUCCCCCUUUACUCUUUCUGCUCAUUUUAAUUUUUUCUGUAACCUUGGUACCUUUUUACAUUCAAUAUUCACAUGUAACUACAAUAAUUAUUUACCGGUGUUAAUAAAUUAGAAACUGUUCAUUUUUAACCUCUAAUGUGCCAUGCCUCUUUCUUCCAGGUAACAUCAAAUUGGAGUGGUUGAAUACAGUGCUUUUGAGUGGAGGGAGAAAGAGUUUUUCUACGCUCUGUUCUCUCACCCCACACGGUCUUUUUUACAAAUGGUGAUCCCGACGUGAUACCUUUGCUCGGAUGUGGAUAUGUGACCCCACUUCCAGCAACCGGGGCAUGACACAGGUGAAGGAAAUCUCUGACCAUCAGUGGCCCUCAGACCCUUUCCCCCAAUCCUCAUCAGCUCCCCCCAGGACAAACCUUAUUCGACUAUCUGUGAUCAUCACCUACAGGUCCAGCAAUCUUCCCCACAGACAUAGUUCUUAAUCUGCAAUGGCCUUCCCCUGCUCCAGCUUCAGCUCCAUCUCCCUGGUGAAUGCAAGAUAACAAACAAAACUUUCAUCCUGAAGGACUUUUUCAAUUCUAAUGACCUGGACUAUCUCUGUGUUACUGAGUCUUGGUUGAGUAUCUGUGAGACACAUGCUAUUUGUGAACUGCUACUGGCUAACUGUACAUAUUUUAAUGCC
Long non-coding RNA from Denticeps clupeoides (denticle herring), 696 nucleotides. The record is from Ensembl. Lineage: Eukaryota; Metazoa; Chordata; Actinopteri; Clupeiformes; Denticipitidae.